Molecule: long non-coding RNA, 724 nt
Organism: Paramisgurnus dabryanus
Lineage: Eukaryota; Metazoa; Chordata; Actinopteri; Cypriniformes; Cobitidae
Source: RefSeq, a predicted model, not a curated record
GUGACAGAGAAACUUAUAUAUGACGUUAAUAAUCUUUUAAAUGUUUUUAAGACGUAUUCACCCCAUUUUGGGGUUUUAUUUUUAAUUAAAGGCUUCUUAAAACAUGUGUGAAUAUGUGUAUAUUAUACAAAGAGUCUUAUAUUGUCUGCUCUGACAAAAAUAAAGUAUUUUUUUAGGUUUAGGGGAAUUGACUGCGUGUGUCUUAUAAAUACAACUUGAUAAUACGUUUGUUUUGUAAAGAGACUUCUUUAAAGUCACGCAAGAAUAAAAUAUUUUAGUUGUAACUGGUUAAACUUAAAGCCGAUAUUUUCUAUCGAACUAGUCUAUUUUCUGUUCAGACACAAAGUUUUCUGAUGCUGAUAUUAUGUCAGUGUGUGUUUGUGUGGGGGUCGUGUGAUGUAAUCUUUGAAAGUUUAUGACCGAACCUUUAUUGGGGAGCGACAAGAGAUCUCCCGGAAUCAGUUUGGAUGGAGCAGAGCUGUUAUACUCAAGUCUAUUGCGAAAUUGUCUAAACUGGUAUUAACUAUUCCUGGUAAAUCGCGGAGAAGAGUGGCCUGAACAAAAAAGUCAGACCGAGACUAGAACCUCCCGCAGCGUAACACGGAAAUCUUGGAACAAAAGAGACGCCGACUGGCUCGUGUUGUCCGGUUUGGAUAUCAGAGGCAAAGCGAACGUUGUGUGUACUAUUGCAAAAUAUAUAGCGGAUCUCCACGGUACGUUUAUC